This 520-nucleotide unclassified non-coding RNA is filed under the name uncultured Glomus. RNAcentral describes it as "SSU rRNA". It matches the Rfam family "Eukaryotic small subunit ribosomal RNA", at positions 569 to 1089 of the family's 1831-position model. The record is from RNAcentral. Lineage: Eukaryota; Fungi; Glomeromycota; Glomeromycetes; Glomerales; Glomeraceae.
AGCAGCCGCGGUAAUUCCAGCUCCAAUAGCGUAUAUUAAAGUUGUUGCAGUUAAAAAGCUCGUAGUUGAAUUUCGGGAUCAAUAUAUCGGUCGUGCCUUGGUACGUACUGGUAUCAUUGGUUUCUCCUUUCUGACGAACCAUGAUGUCAUUAAUUUGGUGUUAUGGGAAGUUAGGACUGUUACUUUGAAAAAAUUAGAGUGUUUAAAGCAGGCUUUAGCUUGAAUACAUUAGCAUGGAAUAAUGAAAUAGGACGUUCGAACCUAUUUUGUUGGUUUCUAGGAUUAACGUAAUGAUUAAUAGGGAUAGUUGGGGGGCAUUAGUAUUCAAUUGUCAGAGGUGAAAUUCUUGGAUUUAUUGAAGACUAACUACUGCGAAAGCAUUUGCCAAGGAUGUUUUCAUUAAUCAAGAACGAAAGUUAGGGGAUCGAAGACAAUCAGAUACCGUCGUAGUCUUAACCAUAAACUAUGCCGACUAGGGAUCGGAUGAUGUUAAUUUUUUUAAUGACUCAUUCGGCGCCUU